GUCAAAACCAGAAGCUGUGGGAUGAAGUGCUUUCACAUCUUGUGGAAGGACCAAAUUUUCUGAAAAAAUUGGAACAAUCUUUUAUGUGCGUUUGCUGUCAGGAGCUAGUUUACCAGCCUGUGACAACUGAGUGCUUCCACAAUGUCUGUAAAGAUUGCCUACAGCGCUCCUUUAAGGCACAGGUUUUCUCCUGCCCUGCUUGCCGGCAUGAUCUUGGCCAGAAUUACAUCAUGAUUCCCAAUGAGAUUCUGCAGACUCUACUUGACCUUUUCUUCCCUGGCUACAGCAAAGGACGAUGAUCUGCCUGCUUUCACUGUGUUGUUCAUGGUGGCUUUUUGGACAAUAAAGAAUCUAAAAUGGGUGGGGAGGGUGGAAGAAAUGGUGGACUGUAUCUCUCACGUUCUGAAGCAGCUAAUCCUCUUUCCCACAUAGCCAUCAUCUUGUGUGUGUAGUAAGAGGCCCAUUUCUCAACUGUCUUUUAAAUAUCUAAAGGUAGUUCCUGUAACAACUAGUUUUAAUGAGUAAAAAGUCAAAGCCUCAGCUCUAGUUGAUAUCCAAGUUAUGAUUUAUUUUGCAACUACCUCAGGACAGAAAAGAUUUAUGGGGAUUUUAAAAAUCAUUGAAUAACUAGUUAAAUGAAAUUUUAGCUACACACUGCCUCCCAAAUAUUAGUUGUGCCUGGUUCUUGUAAUUUGAUUUUACAGAAAAGGAAAUGACACUUGAGAUCCUUGGAAUGAACACAGCUUCUAAAGUGUGCAUAUACUUUUUUAACGUCUCUUCUUCCAUUACAAUGUGUGUUUUGCAAGGACAGGUUCAUUUUUUUUAGCCCACUUUGUGAACUCCAUUGUGCUUUUUUCUGGUGUUUUAUGCAAGUUGACUACUAAUGACUAAUGAGAACAAUAAUGAAUGCAUUGUUGCUGCAUUAGUGUAAUGUGGUGUGGUUUUGCACUUAAAAGAGGUAUUCAUAUGCUCUAGUUGUAAAUGUUCAUGAAAAUCCACUUCUCUACUAGUCGAACUGCUUUUAGUGUCUCACCAGUGGUUUUACAUCUGCAGAGUUUUGAGGGCUGUGCUGACCUUUGAGAGGAUUUGAAAUUGCUUCAUAUUGUGAUCCUAAAUUUUAUAUUCACUAUAUUCCCUAAAGUAUACCUUAAUAAAUAUUUUAUGAUCAG
Molecule: long non-coding RNA, 1169 nt
Filed under: Homo sapiens (human)
Lineage: Eukaryota; Metazoa; Chordata; Mammalia; Primates; Hominidae
Description: HSALNT0146403
Source: RNAcentral